AACUGCGAAUGGCUCAUUAAAUCAGUUAUCGUUUAUUUGAUAGUACCUUACUACUUGGAUAACCGUGGUAAUUCUAGAGCUAAUACAUGCUAAAAACCUCGACUUCGGAAGGGGUGUAUUUAUUAGAUAAAAAACCAAUGCCCUUCGGGGCUCCUUGGUGAUUCAUGAUAACUUAACGAAUCGCAUGGCCUUGCGCCGGCGAUGGUUCAUUCAAAUUUCUGCCCUAUCAACUUUCGAUGGUAGGAUAGUGGCCUACCAUGGUAUCAACGGGUAACGGGGAAUUAGGGUUCUAUUCCGGAGAGGGAGCCUGAGAAACGGCUACCACAUCCAAGGAAGGCAGCAGGCGCGCAAAUUACCCAAUCCCGACACGGGGAGGUAGUGACAAUAAAUACUGAUACAGGGCUCUUUUGGGUCUUGUAAUUGGAAUGAGUACAAUUUAAAUACCUUAACGAGGAACAAUUGGAGGGCAAGUCUGGUGCCAGCAGCCGCGGUAAUUCCAGCUCCAAUAGCGUAUAUUAAAGUUGUUGCAGUUAAAAAGCUCGUAGUUGAACCUUGGGCCUGGCUGGCCGGUCCGCCUCACCGCGUGUACUGGUCCGGCCGGGCCUUUCCUUCUGGGGAUCCGCAUGCCCUUCACUGGGUGUGUCGGGGAACCAGGACUUUUACUUUGAAAAAAUUAGAGUGUUCAAAGCAGGCCUUUGCUCGAAUACAUUAGCAUGGAAUAAUAGAAUAGGACGUGCGGUCCUAUUUUGUUGGUUUCUAGGACCGCCGUAAUGAUUAAUAGGGAUAGUCGGGGGCAUCAGUAUUCAAUUGUCAGAGGUGAAAUUCUUGGAUUUAUUGAAGACUAACUACUGCGAAAGCAUUUGCCAAGGAUGUUUUCAUUAAUCAGUGAACGAAAGUUAGGGGAUCGAAGACGAUCAGAUACCGUCGUAGUCUUAACCGUAAACUAUGCCGACUAGGGA
Molecule: ribosomal RNA, 959 nt
Filed under: Cophinforma atrovirens
Lineage: Eukaryota; Fungi; Ascomycota; Dothideomycetes; Botryosphaeriales; Botryosphaeriaceae
Description: SSU rRNA
Rfam family: Eukaryotic small subunit ribosomal RNA
Source: RNAcentral